GAUGAACGCUGGCGGCGUGCUUAACACAUGCAAGUCGAACGGAAAGGCUCCUGCUUGCUGGGGUACUCGAGUGGCGAACGGGUGAGUAACACGUGGGUAAUCUGCCCUUCACUUCGGGAUAACCCUGGGAAACUGGGUCUAAUACCGGAUAGGAGCACAUUUUGCAUGGUGUGGUGGAGAGUUUUUCGGUGGGGGAUGAGCUCGCGGCUUAUCAGCUUGUUGGUGGGGUAGUGGCCUACCAAGGCGUCGACGGGUAGCCGGCCUGAGAGGGUGUACGGCCACAUUGGGACUGAGAUACGGCCCAGACUCCUACGGGAGGCAGCAGUGGGGAAUAUUGCACAAUGGGCGGAAGCCUGAUGCAGCGACGCCGCGUGGGGGAUGACGGCCUUCGGGUUGUAAACUGCUUUCGCCUGGGACGAAGCGCGAGUGACGGUACUGGGUAAAGAAGCACCGGCUAACUACGUG
This 465-nucleotide ribosomal RNA is filed under the name uncultured bacterium. RNAcentral describes it as "partial 16S ribosomal RNA". It matches the Rfam family "Bacterial small subunit ribosomal RNA", at positions 28 to 507 of the family's 1533-position model. The record is from RNAcentral.